This 484-nucleotide ribosomal RNA is filed under the name uncultured bacterium. RNAcentral's name for it is "partial 16S ribosomal RNA". It matches the Rfam family "Bacterial small subunit ribosomal RNA", at positions 30 to 507 of the family's 1533-position model. The record is from RNAcentral.
AUUGAACGCUGGCGGCAGGCCUAACACAUGCAAGUCGAGCGGAUGAAGGGAGCUUGCUCCUGGAUUCAGCGGCGGACGGGUGAGUAAUGCCUAGGAAUCUGCCUGGUAGUGGGGGAUAACGUCCGGAAACGGGCGCUAAUACCGCAUACGUCCUGAGGGAAAAAGUGGGGGAUCUUCGGACCUCACGCUAUCAGAUGAGCCUAGGUCGGAUUAGCUAGUUGGUGGGGUAAAGGCCUACCAAGGCGACGAUCCGUAACUGGUCUGAGAGGAUGAUCAGUCACACUGGAACUGAGACACGGUCCAGACUCCUACGGGAGGCAGCAGUGGGGAAUAUUGGACAAUGGGCGAAAGCCUGAUCCAGCCAUGCCGCGUGUGUGAAGAAGGUCUUCGGAUUGUAAAGCACUUUAAGUUGGGAGGAAGGGCAGUAAGUUAAUACCUUGCUGUUUUGACGUUACCAACAGAAUAAGCACCGGCUAACUUCGUG